GAAGCAGGGGGGACCACCCUCCAAGGCAAAACACAGAUAUCGACCGAUAGCGCAUAGUACCAUGAGGGAAAGGUGAAAAGCACCCCGGGAGGGGAAUGAAAGAGAACCUGAAACCGUAUGUUUACAAGCAGUCGGAGACCGCUUAAUAAUAAGGUCGACGGCGUGCCUAUUGAAGAAUGAACCGGCGAGUUACGAAGCCUGGCAAGGUUAAGCAGGAAAUGCGGAGCCGAAGCGAAAGCGAGUCUUAAGAGGGCGCAAGUCAGGAAGCGUAGACCCGAAACCACAGUGAUCUACCCAUGUCCAGGUUGAAACACAGGUAAAAAUGUGUGGAGGACCGAACCUAUAUCCGUUGAAAAGGGUUAGGAUGAGGUGUGGGUAGGGGUGAAAUUCCAAUCGAACGUGGAGAUAGCUGGUUCUCCCCGAAAUAGCUUUAGGGCUAGCCUCAGGGAAAAGAUUGCAGGCGGUAGAGCACUGAUCAGGAGAGGGACCUACCCGGUUACCAAACCCAGUCAAACUCCGAAUGGCUGCAAUCAUACCUGGGAGUCAGACUGCGACUAAUAAGGGCCGCAGUCAAAAGGGAAACAGCCCAGACCAUCAGCUAAGGUCCCCAAUGCCGUGCUAAGUGGCGAAGGAUGUGGCAUUUCAUAAACAACCAGGAUGUUGGCUCAGAAGCAGCCACCAUUUAAAGAGUGCGUAAUAGCUCACUGGUCGAGAGACGCUGCGCCGAAAAUGUCCGGGGCUCAAGCACGGAACCGAAGCUAUGGCAUGAUAGCAAUAUCAUGGGUAGGGGAGCGUUCUUAUAAGGAAGAAGCAUGACCGGAAGGACAUGUGGACGAAUAAGAAGUGAGAAUGCCGGUAUGAGUAUCGAAAAGAAAGGUGAGAAUCCUUUCCACCGAAAGCCCGAGGGUUCCUGAGCAACGAUCGUCGACUCAGGGUAAGUCGGGACCUAAGCCGAGGCGAGAAGCGUAGGCGAUGGACAACAGGUUGAAAUUCCUGUACCGGAUCAAGUCGAUCGAGCGAAGGAGCGACGCAGGAGGGCACAUGAUCGCGCGGCUGGAAGAGCGCGUCCAAGUGCGUAUGUUGCAGCAGAGGAAAACCCCUGCAGCUAAAAGCAGAGACAUGAUGGGGAGUUAAAGGAAACUUUGACGAACUCAUGGAUCCCACACUGCCAAGAAAAACUUCUAGCGAGACAAGAUCCGCCCGUACCGUAAACCGACACAGGUAGGCGGGGAGAGAAUCCUAAGGUGCGCGGGAAAACCCUCGUUAAGGAACUCGGCAAAUUGCAUCCGUAACCUAGGGAGAAGGAUGGCCCCCGGUCAGUGAAGAGCAGAAACGCUCAGAGCUAAAAGGGGCGGCAGAAAAGAGGCCCAAGCAACUGUUUACCAAAAACACAGGUGCCUGCGAAAGCGAAAGCUGAAGUAUAGGUGCUGACGCCUGCCCGGUGCCGGAAGGUUAAGGAGAGAAGUUAGCGAAAGCGAAGCAUCGAACUGAAGCCCCGGUGAACGGCGGCCGUAACUAUAACGGUCCUAAGGUAGCGAAAUUCCUUGUCGGGUAAGUUCCGACCCGCACGAAAGGCGUAACGAUUUGGGCACUGUCUCAACGAGGGACCCGGUGAAAUUGAAAUACCUGUGAAGAUGCAGGUUACCCGCGACUGGACAGAAAGACCCCAUGGAGCUUUACUGCAACCUAAGAUUGAACUUAGUUAAUGAAUGUACAGGAUAGGUGGGAGACGUAGAACCUAGGACGCUAGUUUUAGGGGAGUCGCUGUUGGGAUACCACCCUUCUGUUGCUGAGAUUCUAACGCGAGGAGUAACGACCCUGCGGACCCUCUCAGGCAGGCGGUUUGACUGGGGCGGUCGCCUCCGAAAGAGUAACGGAGGCGCCCAAAGGUUCCCUCAGGCCGGACAGAAACCGGCCGAAGAGUGCAAAGGCAGAAGGGAGCUUGACUGCGAGACCAACAAGUCGAGCAGAGACGAAAGUCGGGCUUAGUGAUCCGGUGGUACUGGGUGGAAAGGCCAUCGCUCAACGGAUAAAAGCUACCCUGGGGAUAACAGGCUAAUCUCUCCCAA
Molecule: ribosomal RNA, 2069 nt
Filed under: human oral metagenome
Description: bacterial LSU rRNA
Rfam family: Bacterial large subunit ribosomal RNA
Source: RNAcentral